Lepus europaeus (European hare) is the source of this 145-nucleotide small nucleolar RNA. Lineage: Eukaryota; Metazoa; Chordata; Mammalia; Lagomorpha; Leporidae. The record is from RefSeq and is a predicted model, not a curated record.
CUUUGGUGAUGAUGCAAUGACAAGUCAGAAGGUCACAUCCUGCCCUUGGGCCAUAUCAGUGCCACAUUCUGUGGUGCUGUGCGUGGGUUCCUUUGGCAAAAAUGUCCUGUUCAUUGACUGAUUUAGAGGCAUUUGUCUGAGAAGG